CCUGUUCAGUGACUGUGAGUGACCACCCAGCACCUGAGACCUUGCACCCCAGUUUUGAGCUGGGAACGAGCCGAUACUUGUGCUGAUAGCUACUCCGUAUCCGCCGUCCCCAUCCUGCGUGGGAGGGAACUGGCACUUUGAAAAUCCUUUUCUGCUUGAGAAAGAGCAGAGCAGCCUUUGCUCCUCCCGCUGUGACCUCCUGUGCUUUGCAAAGGUGAUUUGGCAAGUGCAGCUGCGCGCCCCGCUCCAGUAUCGCACGUCUACGGAAAAUUCCAGUCAGGUCUUAGCCCCAGUCACAGUACAUUUUUCUGAGGAUCAGUAAUGAUUUGCUGAGGAUCAGUAAUGCUCUCCGUCUGCCGGCUGACAAGGGCGUGAUCUCUGUGCUAUUAUCCUCCAUUUGUCAGCUCCUCUCUGACACAGUUGUCCGCCGAUUCCUUAGGAAUAUUGGAGGUAUUUAGGCACAAUUUCAGGAGCUGCUCCAGCUUGUAGCCUCUCAUUCCUAAUCAACAUUUCCCAGCUGAGACUAUAGAUAAUUCAACUAGGCGGGUUAUCAGAGGCGUUCUUCCUACUCUGCUUCGUUUGGAUCUCUGCGCCCUCUAAGGUUCAGGGAGCUGGCUCCGACGUUUCCCAUCAUCACGAUUUUCAGGAGUCGGGGCUACAAAGAACCGAAAGGAGAUUCAUCCAUCACAGUUAGUCAACGUUUCUCCAAGUGCAACGUUUCUCCUCGCAAAGGACCUGGAUUAGACUGGCAAUACGCCACCUCUUCUGCUGGAAGUGACAACCUGCAAGAAUUCCAAGAGAUAAAACACAAAAGUUUGGGAGCUUCCCUGGAGUCUUUAACUCACAGACUUUUCCACAACAAGCCUCCAGCAAGUCAUCAAUUACAGUUCAGGUGUUCCCACCUUGGUACUAGUUUCCACAGAGAUAUCUGCUCUGGUAACUUGUUCUCCAUUUCUGCCAGUCUGUGUCUCCAAUUCUGGGGACAGCGAUUUGCCCUGUGAUCUCACUUCUCUCAUGAAUCUAAGAAGAGUUGUUGAUUUUUCAGUUUGUUCAGCUUUUUCCUUGUUAUUAGGAUGGCGUGGCAACUUCCAAGCUCCCUACAUGAUGGACUGGAAACUGGAAGUCUCAUAAGUCUUUUUACAAUGUAAUAAAACAUGUUAAUUCUCACUAUUUCUAAU
RNAcentral lists this long non-coding RNA (1178 nucleotides) under Equus caballus (horse). RNAcentral's name for it is "lncRNA (ENSECAG00000046202.1)". Lineage: Eukaryota; Metazoa; Chordata; Mammalia; Perissodactyla; Equidae. The record is from RNAcentral.